Molecule: ribosomal RNA, 469 nt
Filed under: uncultured bacterium
Lineage: Bacteria
Description: partial 16S ribosomal RNA
Rfam family: Bacterial small subunit ribosomal RNA
Source: RNAcentral
GACGAACGCUGGCGGCGUGCUUAACACAUGCAAGUCGAACGGAAAGGCCCUGCUUGCAGGGUGCUCGAGUGGCGAACGGGUGAGUAACACGUGGGUGAUCUGCCCCUUACUUUGGGAUAAGCCUGGGAAACUGGGUCUAAUACUGGAUAGGACCAUGCUGUAGGUGGUGUGGUGGAAAGAUUAGUUUCGGUAAGGGAUGAGCUCGCGGCCUAUCAGCUUGUUGGUGGGGUAAUGGCCUACCAAGGCGUCGACGGGUAGCCGGCCUGAGAGGGUGGACGGCCACAUUGGGACUGAGAUACGGCCCAGACUCCUACGGGAGGCAGCAGUGGGGAAUAUUGCACAAUGGGCGCAAGCCUGAUGCAGCGACGCCGCGUGGGGGAUGACGGCCUUCGGGUUGUAAACUCCUUUCAGCCAUGACUAAGCCCUUGUGGUGACGGUAGUGGUAGAAGAAGCACCGGCUAACUACGUG